Molecule: long non-coding RNA, 1830 nt
Organism: Herpailurus yagouaroundi (jaguarundi)
Lineage: Eukaryota; Metazoa; Chordata; Mammalia; Carnivora; Felidae
Exons: 4
Source: RefSeq, a predicted model, not a curated record
CUCUCUGCUCUUCUCCCACUUGUAUUCUGUCUCUGUCUCUCUCUCAGAUAUAAACGUUAAAAAAAUUGUUUUAAAUAAAACCCUCACUAAAAAAAUGGAGUUAUGUAACACCUUUGUAUCCGUAUCAUCAGAUGAAAUAGGCAGCAUAUUCCCUAGUCAACAAAGUACUAACCAAAUCUAGCUACCAAAACAGGAAAGAAGAGUUGUUUGUCUUCUAUCAUCUUCCCUAAAUAGUGGCAAAGCUUUGGUCUUCUGGAUCCAGGGGGACUUCUGAAUCAUUGCUAGAGUUGAAAAGACCUCCCUCUUUGGCCAACUAUGCUUUGAGAGGAAAACUUGCUGGAAAACAUUAGAACCACACACUGGUAGUUUAUUUACCCAAUGCUAAACCGCUUGUUUGACAUUUCACUCUAAACUGACCAAUGAUUUGAGUAUUGUGUAGACAACCACAGAGAACAACUAAAACAGUGGGAAAGUAUUAUUUUAGAAGUACUUACUGUUUUAUUAACACUUAGAGGGGAGAAUUCCCUGCUUCUACUCAGAUUCGGUUCUUCAUGUUCCAAUGUGAAGUAGGUUGCCCAAUUGUCAAAUUUGUCAAUAUAGUUUUUAGUCCUGCAGCCCAUCAUUAGAUGACAGAAAAACAUCAUGUUGUGGCAAAGAAUCAGUAGGUAGUAAUCAAAUGUCCCAUGAUGUUGACAUUUCCCAACCCUCCAUAGAUUUUUUUUUUAAAGGGAGAAUCCUAGAAGUAUCAGACUAGCAGGCCUGUGAAGGACCAGCUCUCUGGAGAUAAUGACACAUUUUGUCCUGAUAAUCUUCAGAUGUUAAUACCUUAAAAGUUACUCAGUUGAAGUUGCUUUCAAAUUAAACACCAUUGCUAUAGUGUUUCUGUUGUGAUUGUCGGAGGGAAGUGGAGCCAGUGCAAUUUGUCCAUGUUUUACAAAUCACCAUCUGGCAGGGAUAUGGCAACAUGUGAAAUCUUCACAGGACUCUUGUUUUUCUACUAUCUGCUGGAUAACUAAGGAGAUCACCAGACUGCUGGGAUGACUGCCAGAUGGUAAGCAGGACUAUGGAUUGUGUGUUGAAACUUCCAGUGUUUGAAGAUCUGCUUCUUUGCCCUUUGAACCCUGAGCAAGGAACCUUUCCAAGCAGUGUGAACUCACUGGCUUCCCCAUAACGCUACAGAGCUCACGCUGCCAUAUAACUGGGAAUCGGAGAGGGCUGCUCCUUUUUGAACGAAGAAAAAAGAAAAAAAAGAUGUAUCCAGAGCAUCGUCCUCCAAACAAACAAGAGGAGCACAUAUUUGCAAGCUAUAUAGUAAAGUUGUUGCAAUGAAGAUUUUGAUUUUAAUUAAGAAUGGGAUUUGUAGGACAAUUAGUGAGAUGUAAUAUUCUUUGCAAGAAACAGUACCCUUAUUGGAAAUACCACCUAAAAUGGAGUGGGGGCAUUUGGAGCUGCACAGAGACUUAUAUCUAUGGGUUUCUACAGUUAAUGAGAAAGAAAAAUACAAGAAAAAUGUAGGUACCUCACCUGAAAUGCAGGAAUACAAAUACCGUUUGCCUGGUUUUUUUUCCCCUCCUUAAUUUUUCUUUUUAAUUUAAACCAUAGAAAUCUGUGCUGUUGAGAUUUCAACCAGGUAAUCAUCUUAUCAUUAAUACGUUUAUGUUAUUUCUUCACAUUGACCUAAACCACUGAUCAUUAGGAGUAUACCUCAUCUUUUUUGAUGAUUUUACAAGGACAUAAUAAUAUACUUAAUAGUAAUAAAGGCAACAAACUCUCCAGUUAUUUUUGGUAUGCUCAGCUGUCCUGACAUUAAAAAGAGGGCUUUUUCUUACA